Molecule: long non-coding RNA, 203 nt
Filed under: Elaeis guineensis (African oil palm)
Lineage: Eukaryota; Viridiplantae; Streptophyta; Magnoliopsida; Arecales; Arecaceae
Description: long non-coding RNA (EGUI_LNC019974)
Source: RNAcentral
AUUUGAUGAAGUCACUUUGUCCUACUUGCCUAAGAGAAGAAGAAAUUAGAGAGGGCAGGAAAGUAAGUAAAUAUUCUUGGAAGAGUUAGAGAAAUAGAAGUGGAUGUAAUAUGGUGGAUGACUCCAAUAAUGAUGAAGUAGAGUUGGAGAAGAAAUGAGUGGACUCAAAAAAAGUAAUAUUGGUGCAAAUAAAAUAUCAGUAA